ACAGACGACGGCCAACGCAUUCAUGGUGGAGGGAAAGAUUGGUGUUGAUCCUGUUUGUAUGCAAAUCCUUAGAUGGAUGAAAUUCCUUUGCAUCUAAGUAAGUGGUAUGAAAGGGACGCGGAGUUCGUGAACUCGAGCACACAGGAGCUCGAUAUCUGUCCCGUUCACUACUGCGUCGUGAUUCGCUGCAUUCAAUGCCCGGGACAGGCCUGUGGUCGACCAGGAAUUGGGAAAGUCAGAUAUACGUACAGGUGCAGACCUGAAAGGUGGGCCAUGGCUCUGACGGACGUUAGGACGCCGUCCACUGAUCGGCGGACAGCCGUGGCCCAGGACGUCGGCGCCGUCCGAGUCUGUGGUUCAGAACGGUCUCAGAUAUGUGCGGCGGAGUGUCUGCAUAGGCACACCAGGUGGAGAUCAACCACAAUCAUCUGAGCAACCCAUAGAGCAGUAGAUUGUCCCCCAGAGUACCGGGGUGGACGUUUAGGUCAGCUAUGCAUUUUUGUGUGGUUCAGAAUUAUAUGAUGACACGCAUAAGUCUGCGGUUACACUUUGGUACAAAUGCAGAGUCAGGAUUGGGGCUGAAGCAGGCAGAGCGCCAUGCCAAAAUAGGAUUUCAGCAAUGGAGAAAUCAAUCCGGGGGUUUGCCGAACAUCCUGGUGACAAUGUCAUUGUGCCAAAAUUAGGGACUAGCUUCCACACACUGGGUGAAGCUUACGAUUUUUACAAUCUGUAGUCAUGGGAGAAAGGUUUUGGCAUCUCAAAUUUCUUCCUUUGCAAACAGACGCUCGAUGCAAUAAGUGAGUCAUUGAUCGACCUCCCAAUGAUGGAAGUAGCACUGUGUUUGGUGAGAGGUGGGAUGAACUGUCUGGAAGAAAAUUAUGUUACCCUUACAAACUAUGGACAAGGGGUGUCAUCCGGUACCCUCUCAACCUUCAGUCUCUGAACUUAUAUUACAGUUUUUCACUUCGGCGUCCACACAAGAGCUAUCUAGGAACUUGUGCACGAGAAUCCUAUGUUUGUAAGGAUAACAGGGGUGGUGCUGAAGGAACAGCUUGGGGGUGACACGAUGAUUGACCAUGAGCUGAUGUCUGUCAUUAUCCAUAGGUGUUGCCAGGCUGAAUGAAUGCAUGAAAAUCAAUAUAUGAAAAUUAUGUUACCCUCGCUUAAAUUCUGUUCUCACUGGUAUACGUCGGCAUCAUUGCACAGCACAACAUAUGAAAAUCAAUAUGCGAAGCCCUGCACGAAUGCAUGAAGCUACAGGGCAAUUUCUGCCCCCUCGCCCGUGAGGCACUUCGGCAUGUUCUUGCCCCAUCAGACUCCGCAUUUGACACCAGCUGAAACGUCGCCAUACUAAAUUACCCAGGAUGUCCCACUAGGUGAAUUAUAUCCUUAGCAUCUGAUGACGGGGUAUGUCCCACUAGAUGAUUUAUAUCCUUAGCAUCUCAUAAACAUAAGUGUUCCCAACGCAAGCUUAUGUACCCCUAAUGCUACAUUUGAAUUAUGUGUCGAGCAUUUGUACUAUCAAAGACCAUGGUUUCAAACCAUAUCCUUUGUUGUUAAGCAAU
Molecule: ribosomal RNA, 1565 nt
Filed under: Triticum aestivum (bread wheat)
Lineage: Eukaryota; Viridiplantae; Streptophyta; Magnoliopsida; Poales; Poaceae
Description: partial small subunit ribosomal RNA
Source: RNAcentral